UUGAAGCUUAAAAUUUAGAAUUACUAAAAGUUUGUAGCUGAAGUUGUCUAGUGAGAAAGACUCCAAGGACCUGAAUUGUAAUUCACACUCGAAACACUCUGCUCAUGAAUAUGAAAAAGGGCAGAAAUUAGGGUUUUUAUUUACCGAUUCCACUCGAACAAGAUGAGGUCAUCUGUGGUGAUGGUUUUCAGGGGCGGUAACCCUACUCUCCUCUGAAGUAUGAUUUUGACUUUAUUAUUAUUAUUAUUAAGUCAAAACUAGUCUUCAUGGCCGAUGAUUCUGUUCAAAUUUCAACAACCCCUCUUGUGUUCUAUCAGAAGCUGUUGAUGUAAACAGCCGAACGUACAUACUACAAACAUACCAAAGAACUUGGGUUGUGGUGCAGUUUGUCGCUUGUUUAUGUUAUAUUGUUAUUAUUGUUAUUAUUAGCUAGAGGUGCACAAAAAAAAAAAAAAAAAAAAAAAACCCGGUUUGGAUUCCAAAAUCGGGUUGAGAUUAAAGACCGUUGAAACCGGUUUGGAUCCUUAGAAAGGCUGUGAUGAUCAACUUUAGUCUGUCCGAGUGGAUCGGAUCAAAGUUUGAGAUUAUCUGCAUCUUGGCGGGGCAAUCAAUCUGGAUGGUUAUGUGAAAGAUUCUCUCACAUUGCAACCGAUCGAUUUGCAGCCAUGGCGGAUUUAUCCGACUUUGUUCCAUCGUUUACAGAUCUGAGCCUCGUACAAAUCAGUUUUGCAAACUCAAAAGUUCUGAAAUAUAUUUGAAAUUUACGAUUGUGACUAGUUUACUCUUCGUUAAAGUUAGUGCAAUUUCACUUUUGCCCCGAGCGCCCACACAUAUAUACAAUUUCACUUUAACACGUUAUUUUACUAAUUUCGUGAAAAUAAUGUUAAAAGCGGCGGAUGGUUAAUCAUGCAUCAUGUGGUGACGUUGAUCGCUGAAAGACACGGGGGUACAUGCACCAAUCAGUCUCUGUCCUUAUUGUUUGAGUAUUAUGUGUCUUAAGUCCAAGGCUUGACACAAAACUACAAUCGAGCCUGGGUUCUCACUGGAAUCGGCCUCUCUAUUCCUAUAGGGUAGAGGUCUGUAGUUGCACGAUGACUGCUGAUGACACUCUACAUGAAAGCUAAUAAUGGUCCAGCUGUUGUUCGAUUUAUAUCUUUUGAGUUUAUGUUUUCUUUUGAAAAUUCUGACCCAUUAACUUGCUUCUGAAUUGAUCAACUGGUUUAUGUUCUCGUUCAUUUUCCAAAAGCUGGCCAAAUACUUUUAUGACUAUUAGCUUCGAUGAUGGCUCGCCAGAUUUUAUUA
Molecule: long non-coding RNA, 1302 nt
Organism: Helianthus annuus (common sunflower)
Lineage: Eukaryota; Viridiplantae; Streptophyta; Magnoliopsida; Asterales; Asteraceae
Exons: 2
Source: RefSeq, a predicted model, not a curated record